AAACAUAAUGCAGUGGGGGAAAUAAUUGGCAUGCAUUACUCUGAUCUUUAACCACCUCUACACGACUACACAUAUAUGCAGUGGCGCAGGUGGUCAAGGAGGAGGGGGGUCAGCUGACCCCAUGAGUAUUAACCACCUGUUCAUUUUAUUAGUGUAAAAUGGAAGAUCAAACAAUAAGUAAAAAGGAACAUGAGCUCCAUUGAAUCUGUCCACAUAUGUAUAUUAAAUCAACCAAUGAAAACAGCCAUAAAAAAGCCCAAGGCCUUGCGGAUUCGCAAUCUCCUCUCCUCCAAAGCUUAUGCUGCUAUGGCCUCUUCUCUUUCAUAUCCAUCUCUUCCUCUCCGGUGAAGAAUUCGCUACUCCAGUCUUCCUCUACCAUCAACAUCUUCACCAGCCACAAUAGCUAUCUCCCUGGAUAAAUCGGAAAAGCUAUUGGUGCGCCGUCGAAGGAUUGUUGGGAGUAAACGUUCAAUGGUGUAUCUUCCUUCUCUUAUCUCUGUUAACCUGAUUACAUAGCCUUCUAGAUUAUUUUCUUUGGUUGUGAUGAAUUUUAGGGAUUCCUUGUGACGAUCUCUCAUAUUAACAAGCUUUAUCAGCCGGAGAAGCUGCUUCUAUAUUUGAGGUCAUACGAUGUUGUUAAGGCCCGCAUUUUAUUUUUUAUCUGGUUGUUUUCGAAUUCCCAAAAUUUGAUUGAGCUUUGUUUUUUUUUUUGUCAUAAGGCGAGAUUACAAGUUUGGAUCAGACAAGGUUAUAAUUGAUGGGCUACAAAUAUUCAAAAUGGUCUGAUUCAUUUUCUUUAAGUUCAACAUCUAAUGGCUCUAUCUCCCCACUUCCCCUGAUUUGAUUGUAUGUUUGUAUUAUCUGUAAUGGAAGUGUCCAUCUCUUUCCAGGGAUCACGUUUACAUGGUAUCUUUUCAUAUACACAAAUAAUCAUUCCAUAAGAAACUUUUAAUCUUUCCACCGAUUGCUGUAACUUUUAUACAAAUAGAUUACUAUGAAACAUGAGGAUUCAAUGCAUCUAUCACGGACUAUACUGCAAGAAGCAAUCGUUUGUGUAGAAGACAAGCAAAUGAGUGAAUUUUUCUUCCAUCUAAUCAGGAACCAAAGGAUUCCAAGCUCCAAAGGAUGGAAAAUCUAAUUAUUUAGGGCUGUACUUGGCUGAAAUAACUUGUGCAGGAUUCCUCCAGACGUGUGGUCAACAUGAAAUUCAAGGUUAAUAUCAAUGGUUUAGUUGAGACUGCACCAGUUCCUGAAGAAGUCUAGAAUAUCCACUACGGUACUCCUUGGCCCAGAAAUAUUGUGUGCGAUGAUCCUGCCAUGAACAAGGUCUUCCUUGGAAACAAAGGUCUUAAUGAUGUAGAAAACGCCGAGCUGCCUAGGCUGGUUUAUGUUCUCGUGAGGAGAGAGCCCAACUCACCAUCAUAAUAAGGCUGAAGAAAACAAAUUUAUUGGUUUUUCAAGGAUCUAGAAAAUAGAGAAUCUUAGUUUGGAAUCUGGGACAUACACAGCCGGCUUUGCAACUCUUGAAGUAGUGUUCAUGAACAUCGCUAGACGUGCUAAACUCAGUGAGCUAAAGUGCACUUUAGAGAAGUUUGGGACAAAAUUUUGAGGUUAUGGUUGCAAUUUACAAUGUAUGGGGUCAGAAACGGAGUUAUCAAAAGUUCAGGGACCUGUCUUGCAAAAUCUCCAAAACCCACCAUUGGAGAGAUCGAUUGUUCUCCGGAUUGGUUGACGACGAUCCCGGCGGCUACCACGGCGGGUUAAGAGCAAGACGACGAGGAUGAGCACCGGUGAGAGCUAACGACGACAAUUGAGCUCGGGAUUGGUCUUGCCAUAACUGAGAGAAGUUGCAGAUUCGUGGAGGAGGAGCCGCGGCAGAGAGCUUCGUGGUGGAGCAAAGCAGGGGAGACAGAGACGACCAACCAUGAUCUCCAAUCUCGAGAUGCAGAGCGGCUUCAUGGCGUGGACAAGAGAAGCGGACUUGCGGCGGAGAAGAUGGAUCGUGUGAUGGCUUCAACAGACCAUGGAGACCGCAAGUGAUCUUCGCGGCUAGCAGCGGGUUGCGGCAAGGUUUCGACGAAACCAUUUAGUAGAUUUCGCAAGCUGUGGCCGCGACGUGAAGUUAUCAACCGCAGGUAAGCAUCGCGAGCAUCAGGUGGUCGCGGCUGUGUCACGACAGAUUCGUCCAGGGCGUUUCGCAGGCCAUGUUCACGACACGUGGAGGUCGCGGCUUAUGGGCUGAUUUCGCUGGCUUUGAUCGCGGGCAACGGGUGGUCGUGGCCGUGGUCCGAAACAUUCAUUUUAUCAUUUUACCCUUUUGUUUCUAAGCUAGUAUAAAUACAUUGUAAACUUAAUCUUAAAUCAUAUCUUGUUUUCUAUUUAAUCAAAAGCUACUUCUGGGUGAAA
Brassica oleracea var. oleracea is the source of this 2406-nucleotide long non-coding RNA. RefSeq lists it as uncharacterized. The transcript has 7 exons. NCBI's taxonomy places the organism in Eukaryota, Viridiplantae, Streptophyta, Magnoliopsida, Brassicales, Brassicaceae. The record is from RefSeq and is a predicted model, not a curated record.